Molecule: long non-coding RNA, 283 nt
Filed under: Bos taurus (domestic cattle)
Lineage: Eukaryota; Metazoa; Chordata; Mammalia; Artiodactyla; Bovidae
Description: long non-coding RNA NONBTAT019490
Source: RNAcentral
CAUGGAGUCAUUAAAAAAACUCCUAGCAAAGCCUGGGACUAAUUUAAGAUGUGUAUGCUCUUUGCUUUUUAGUAGGUGCUAGUUAUAAGAAGAACAUUAUAGUAGUGAAAAAUAUAGAUUCUGAAAAUGUUCUUCAUUGUGUUUACAAGCCAAAAACCUCAGUGUUUUGAUACCACAAUAAGGCAACGAGGAUGGAAAACUAGCUUCCUUUGUAGAGCCUGAUAAAAGGUAACAAUGGAAUGAUUACCCUGAUUUAGAAAAAUACAGCUAUAUGUUACUCUGA